RNAcentral lists this ribosomal RNA (301 nucleotides) under uncultured bacterium. RNAcentral describes it as "partial 16S ribosomal RNA". It matches the Rfam family "Bacterial small subunit ribosomal RNA", at positions 509 to 807 of the family's 1533-position model. The record is from RNAcentral.
CAGCAGCCGCGGGAAUACGAAGGGGGCUAGCGUUGUUCGGAUUUACUGGGCGUAAAGGGCGCGUAGGCGGACUGAUAAGUCAGGGGUGAAAUCCCAAGGCUCAACCUUGGAACUGCCUUUGAUACUGUUUGUCUUGAGUUCGAGAGAGGUAAGUGGAACUGCGAGUGUAGAGGUGAAAUUCGUAGAUAUUCGCAAGAACACCAGUGGCGAAGGCGGCUUACUGGCUCGAAACUGACGCUGAGGCGCGAGAGCGUGGGGAGCAAACAGGAUUAGAUACCCGGGUAGUCCCUGUCUCUUAUAC